Homo sapiens (human) is the source of this 1162-nucleotide long non-coding RNA. NCBI's taxonomy places the organism in Eukaryota, Metazoa, Chordata, Mammalia, Primates, Hominidae. The record is from Ensembl.
UGAGGCUGGACACAGAUGCCCUUCGGGCAGGGUGGAGGGCUCUUGGCUCUAGCUGUCCCCUGAACUGACCUGGGUGUCACAAACAUGUGGCUGCUGAGCUGGGCUUAUAAGAGCCAUGUGGCUGAAGGGAUAAGGGGGCACUUCCCACUCUCUCAGGCCCCAGGGAAGGAGAGAAACUGCUGAGCGGCAGGCCCCGGUAACCAGUAACCAAUCUCCAGACACUGUCACCGCUCAGCCACAAAGCUUUGUCCACCCAGCCAGGAUGAUGUCUGGAUACCAGGCGAGCCAUUCCAACACUCACGGCCGCUUGGGCCAUCCCAACAACACAUCCUUUCCAGCCCAAAUUCCAGGCUGGACCAAACGCACCCUCCUGAAUGAGGCCAAGAGCCUCAAGCGCCUCCACACCCGGAGUGGCUCUGGCUUGGAGUCCAGCAGCUGCAGCAGCUGCUCUGAGCAGCCCUUCAACCCCACUAGGCUUCCACUGGGGAGAAUCUGCAUGGGCCGGCCCUGCUACUCCAAGUAGGUAGAAACAAGUCACCUGGUGAACCCCAAGGUGGCCAGAAAGACCGCUUUCCAGGGCAGCCCCUGCUGCCUGCUCUGUAAGGAUUGUCCCUCGGACUCCUCCAGCCCCACUCCUCCAGCUCAUCAAAGGCAUCAACUACCUGGACCAAUCCACCAAUGCCUAUAACAGCUGCCACAAGACAUUGCAGAGCCUGCCAAAGCUUGCAGCCAACUACCUGGAAAGGGCUGCCAGCUCCCUCAACCUAGACCACCAGGACCACCCCUUGCCCCAGAGUUACUCCAGCCCCAGCACCAGCGUGACCAUCCCAAACAACUCCACCACCAGCACCUGCAUGGUGCUGUCCCUCAGGGGUGCCAGUGCCCUGCAGUGCCUGGAUGACUCCACCAACACGAGUUAUCCGUGCAGGUCUCAUUGCCAGAACUUCACUAUCGCGCUGCCACGGGGUCCACGUACAAAGCUGCCUGAGCUCCCUUUGCUUAGCAAUGGGCUCUUUGCCUUAGGUUGUCUGCCCAAGGUCUGGGAAGCAAUCUGCUCAGGCUGGAGUGACCCUGAGCCCAUCUCCAAACCCCCAAGCUGGUGGUGACACUGACGCCAACUGUGAAACGUGCACAUGCCCCUCAGGCCACAGUUGUGGAAAAU